Odobenus rosmarus divergens (Pacific walrus) is the source of this 2497-nucleotide RNA transcript. RefSeq lists it as uncharacterized. The record is from RefSeq and is a predicted model, not a curated record. NCBI's taxonomy places the organism in Eukaryota, Metazoa, Chordata, Mammalia, Carnivora, Odobenidae. The transcript has 12 exons.
AUGACGUCCUGCGGUCUGUACGGCCUCGCAAGGGGUGGGGGAGACAACGGCUGGAAUCCAGCACCAGCUCCUCAUUACCGAGAAGGAGUUGUGAGAGCUGGCUCCGGCUGUGGAAGCUUGCGCAAAUUCAUGGGAUCCCGGAGAAAGACGUCACUAGAAAACCUAGGUUUCUGCAGGAAAUCAAAACCCAGGAUGGGAAUAGUUCAAGAUGACAGGUGGGGCUGCAAUAAAAGGCAAUACUAUAUGGCGAUCUGCCAUACAAUCGUUACCGGAUGUUUGGGGAACCAGAUGAUCUCUAGAAAUUUAUGCUCUAGCGCGACAUCUAUUGUAAUGAUACGUAACAAUGUCAACGAGAGGAUGGAGGUGAUAGAGAAUAACUCAUUGAGGGGGAAGGACAGGCAAAGAGGAAUGGUCACGGAGGACUUUUUAAAGGAGGAAACAUUUGAACUAGGCUUUGACAGCCUUCACCGACUAGACAAAGAGAAAAGAGUAUUUCCUGUAGAAGGACCAGCAUGGGCGACGUUUGGAGGCACAGAACCUGCCAGAUUGGGGGGAAGAGCAAAUAAUGUUGUGUAUCUGGAAUUGGAUAAGAAUUCCGAGAGGGAUUAUUAUAUUCUCCAAACUAAUCUUAGUUCCUUGAAGCUGUGGAGCAGCGUUGCUACUCCAAGUAUGAUCCACGGAGCUGGGCCCUUCUGUCACCAGUCAACUGCCAGGCAGGAACAGAAACUGAGAGUAAGCGUUUGGAAAACUUCAUGGGCCGAGUACCUGUGUAAGGAGAGUGUCACCAGCCCGGUUGGAACGCAGGGCUGCCGCAGACGCAUACGCGCACGUGAGUCCGCGACAGCCGAGGGGGCGGGGCAGGGAGUAGGCGGCUCCGAGAAGACGCCACGCCUCCGUCUCUAUCGGCCGCCGCGCCUGAAGAAGGCCGGGAUACUGUCACUUCCGCCGGGGUCGCUCUCUGCAUCCGGGUCAGCUGCUGCCCCUGCAGCAAUAGCUUGGGGACUGGGCCCCGGUCUCCACUGCGGUCCGAGGGGAGCGGGCUCCUCUCGGCGCUACCUCCUGCGCCCUGGCCGUCAGCCCCACGUCGCCGGCCUGGAGGGGCGAAGAAGACGAGGGAGCCAAGGCUUCCUCCGGGGACAUUGGCUCUCUGGAUUAUCAGGAGUUUGUGGCUGAUAUUGAAUCUAAGCUGAGGAUGGAAGGUGUGGAACUUAAAGAAGAAUGGCAAGAUGAAGAUUUUCCAAUACCUUUACCAGAGGAUGAUAGUAUGGAAGCAGAUAUACUGGCUGUAACUGGACCAGAGAGCCAGCCUGGCUCUCUAGAAGUUAAUGGAAAUAAAGUAAGAAAGAAACUCAUGGCUCCAGACAUUAGCCUGACCCUGGAUCCUAGCGAUGGCUCUGUGCUGUCAGAUGAUUUGGAUGAAAGUGGGGAGAUUGACUUAGAUGGCUUAGACACGCCAUCAGAAAACAGUAAUGAAUUUGAGUGGGAAGAUGAUCUUCCAAAACCCAAAACUACUGAAAUUAUUAGGAAAGGCUCAAUUACUGAAUACACAGCAGCAGAGGAGAAAGAAGAUGGACGACGCUGGCGUAUGUUCAGAAUUGGAGAACAGGACCACAGGGUCGAUAUGAAGGCAAUUGAACCCUAUAAAAAAGUUAUCAGCCAUGGAGGAUAUUAUGGGGAUGGAUUAAAUGCCAUUGUUGUGUUUGCUGUCUGUUUUAUGCCUGAAAGUGGUCAACCUAACUAUAGAUACCUGAUGGACAAUCUCUUUAAGUAUGUUAUUGGCACUUUGGAGCUGUUAGUAGCAGAAAACUACAUGAUAGUUUAUUUAAAUGGUGCUACAACUCGAAGAAAAAUGCCCAGUCUGGGAUGGCUCAGGAAAUGCUACCAGCAAAUUGAUAGAAGGUUACGGAAAAACCUAAAAUCAUUAAUCAUUGUACAUCCCUCAUGGUUUAUCAGAACACUUCUAGCUGUCACAAGACCCUUUAUUAGCUCAAAAUUCAGCCAAAAAAUUAGAUACGUCUUUAAUUUGGCAGAACUAGCGGAACUUGUCCCCAUGGAAUAUGUUGGCAUACCAGAAUGCAUAAAACAAGUUGAUCAAGAGCUUAAUGGAAAACAAGAUGAACCGAAAAGUGAACAGUAAGUUUGGCAUCUAGUCCAAACAAGACUGAAGAAUGUGCUGAUGAAGCAGUGCUCUUUUUUGCAUUUAUAAUGCAUUUAUUGGCCCUGAUUUUUAUGUAACCUGUUACAAAAUUGACUUGACUCUUCCUUAAUGGACUUUUGUAUAAGGGACUGUUCACUGCUGUAUUGGUUUGCAAAUCUCUUGAAUUUAGCUCUUUAUUAGCUAAUUAUAUUGUAAUCAUUUUAUAUUUUAUAUUGCUAAAUAGCAGAGAACCACACUUUAUAUAAAGCAGUUUUUGCAUUUGUUUGUUGAAUGAUGCAUCAUCUUCAGUAAACUAUUUAUAUGCCUAAAUGGUAAAGGAAAGAGAUAAUAUAUAUUUUU